RNAcentral lists this transfer RNA (82 nucleotides) under Malassezia psittaci. RNAcentral describes it as "tRNA-Leu". It matches the Rfam family "tRNA". Rfam says of the family: Transfer RNA (tRNA) molecules are approximately 80 nucleotides in length. Their secondary structure includes four short double-helical elements and three loops (D, anti-codon, and T loops). Lineage: Eukaryota; Fungi; Basidiomycota; Malasseziomycetes; Malasseziales; Malasseziaceae. The record is from RNAcentral.
GGCCGAGUAGCAAAGUGGUUACUGCGACGGCUUUAGGUCACCUCAACGCCGUUACUCGUGGGUUCGAUCCCCACCUUGGUCA